CUUGGUGGCUAUAGAGUAGGGGAAACACCUCUUCCCAUCCCGAACAGAGAAGUUAAGCCCUACAUCGCCAAUGGUACUGCGUGGGCGACUGCGUGGGAGAGUAGGUUGCUGCCAAGC
RNAcentral lists this ribosomal RNA (117 nucleotides) under Prolixibacteraceae bacterium. The record is from RNAcentral. RNAcentral also lists the same sequence under 1 other name. Lineage: Bacteria; Pseudomonadati; Bacteroidota; Bacteroidia; Marinilabiliales; Prolixibacteraceae.